RNAcentral lists this long non-coding RNA (943 nucleotides) under Oryctolagus cuniculus (rabbit). RNAcentral's name for it is "lncRNA (ENSOCUG00000031634.1)". The record is from RNAcentral. Lineage: Eukaryota; Metazoa; Chordata; Mammalia; Lagomorpha; Leporidae.
UCGCCGUGUCCGAGCGCGUGGGGGCGCCCGGGCUUUCCAGGAGGGCCAUUGCUCCCGGCGCGGAGCGGGGGUCCUUAGCCGGGGCCCCCAGCUCGCUGCUCCCGCAGGAACAUGGACCUCAGGGUGUCUGGCGCCUGGCAUGCGGGAGUGUGCGGGGAUGAGCGACUGGGCAGUCGAUCCUGGUCCUGCCACUGCAGCCGUGCCCAUUUCCACGUCCCUAAGGUUAGCGGAGCCUGGGGACCGGAGAGAGAGCUGCUGCUUCCUGGAACCGGCUUCCGCGGGAUGGCUGCGGUGGAGACGCCCCGCCCCCUUGCUCAGGUUUCAGGGCUGGCUGAGCUGCAGCCGGGCGGCCUCCUCCUGGUCACGGGACGACGAUGGCCAGGUUGCCGGCAGGCAAGCAGGGCAGGGCGCUGGCCCAAGCAGCAGGAAGCCAGGCGGGAAGGCUGCUUGGCACAAUCUCCCUUGCGUCUCCGUGGCCAUAAGAGGGACGUGUGUCCAUCCUCGCAUGGGAGCUGUGGGUGCCCGUCUCCGAGAUCAGAGGAGUCCCCCCGGUAACUGUUGGUGGGGGCAGAGGGGGCACUGCUGGUCCUCCAGAGAUUCAGGUAUCCGAGGAGCCCCUGAUAGUGACUGUCAGUGGCAGGGGAGGGGGACACCGUCGGUCCUCCCUCCCAAGACCACCUUCAGUUCAUCUGAGUCAGGUGUCCAGGGAAACCCCACAAGCGGUCAGAGUCCCCUCCCAUGGGUUCCUGUGACAUCCACCCGCCCCGCCCCUGCACUUGGGUGCAGGGCUGGGCUGUCACUCCCACACCUCCACCCCAAUCCUAGCCAGUGGGGAACGGGCUUAGUGGCUACCCCCGGGUCACAUGUGAAAUGCAGCAAGGACAGGAUCACCCCGAGAGUCGUGGUGGCGGUCAGUAGAAGAAGGCAAAGCAAUGGACUCUGA